Molecule: long non-coding RNA, 681 nt
Organism: Gossypium raimondii (Peruvian cotton)
Lineage: Eukaryota; Viridiplantae; Streptophyta; Magnoliopsida; Malvales; Malvaceae
Exons: 3
Source: RefSeq, a predicted model, not a curated record
UUAAAAACCAAUGUUAUCAUCUUCUUUCAUAACCGAAUAUGAACAAAAGAAAAAGAAAGAAAACAAAGCUAGGGUUCGGCCAUUUCUAAGCUUGAUUCAAGAUUAAAAACCGAAGAAAUCGGAGUUGGAUCGAGGAAAAACCAAAGUCAUCGAUUAAUUGUCCUGUUCCGAUUCUUAUCGUUCGAGAUUUUGAGGUCGUUACGUGCUCGGGGAUCAUCGGUGAAGUCAUUCACACUAUCAUCUACAUUCGGCACUCUUAAAAUUUUCUUUAAAACACUUAUGGCAUGCAUAGGCUAGAAGAUAUAAAAAUAUUUUGGUCUGAUUUCGGUUGUGUAUAUAAAAGCCAUACGAAAAUGGCUUAUUUUCUUUUGUUUGAUCUUGGUAAUGACACAAAUGAUGGAUGAUACAAAAUGGAAGUUUACUAAUUUAUAUUCGGGUGUGGUUUAGUUUAUAAUAUAGAUGUAUAUUUGGUAUAUAUAUUUGUGUGAGAUUUUGUGAUAUGAAUUGAAUGUAGCAUGUAUAUGAAAUAGAGGUUAUUAAGUUGAAUAUGUAUAGAAUAGUUUUGGAAUUUGCUUAAAUUCGAGAGUAUAUGCAAUAUAGCCAUGUAAAUAUGGUUUAUAAUUUGAGGAAUGCUUAUAUUCGGUUAGCUAAUGGAAAUAAAGAGUGCGGUUGGAUAUUGAA